This is an RNA transcript of Cannabis sativa, 1828 nucleotides long. It is a transcript of the gene named RNA-binding protein 1, with no coding region annotated. The record is from RefSeq and is a predicted model, not a curated record. Lineage: Eukaryota; Viridiplantae; Streptophyta; Magnoliopsida; Rosales; Cannabaceae. The transcript is spliced from 6 exons.
CAUAGUGUUUGAGCACUAUUUACAAUUCUUAUUUUGAUUUAGGCAUUUUAGUUGUGUCCUAUUUCCUUUCUUCAUCGUCUUAACAGGGAAUCCCUUUUUCUUCUUUCUCAUUUCCCUCUUUCCCUGCCAUUUUCACAUUAUUAGUACCUUAAAGAUUCAACCUUUAGCGUAUGGCCGACUCUUAUUGGAGGUACACUGAUCCGCGCCAGCCGCCUUCCGCCAUCCCCGCCAAGCGCUCUCGUCCCGACUACGAUGGACUGAGCAAUCAUGAUCUCCCUAACUAUUUUCCCCGUGAAGAUGAUAGAGGAACAAUUCGUGUUAGAGAUACCGAAUCUAUUAAUGCAUCAUAUGAUCGAUAUUUGCGCAGCACGCAGCCUUCUUAUGCCGGGGGACAGCCUCCUAGACCGAUCAGUGGUGGAAUACCCAACCGUGCAGUUGAUGAUCCACGUCUUAUGGGCAUUGGGGGCGUUGACCCCGGGGCAACUAUAAAAGAUAGGACUCUUGGAUAUGGAGGUGGAAGACCUGAAGUUCCCCUUCCUCCUGAUGCUUCUAGUACACUAUUUGUAGAGGGUUUACCAGCCAACUGCACAAGGCGGGAAGUAGCUCAUAUAUUUCGUCCUUUUGUAGGCUACAAAGAGGUGAGACUUGUAAGCAAGGAAUCAAGACAUCCCGGAGGAGAACCGCUAGUUCUUUGUUUUGUUGAUUUUGUGAGUCCAGCCCAUGCAGCUACUGCUAUGGAUGCCCUACAAGGUGAGCUUAUUAAUUCCUCUGCAGAUCUUUGUGAUCUGUGUAAUGUCAAAAUGUGUAAGUUGUUAGCUAUAGUAACCUGCUUUAUAGAGUAUGUGGCACUUGACUUUGCAAUAAUGAAGACUUUUCAUAUACUGAAAACAACUAUUGAAUCAGAUAUUUCUUCUAGGCAGUUGAUGCAGAUAUGUUGAAAUGAGUAAAGAAUAUUUAUAAAACAGGGUCAUUGCAUUAAUGACAUGAUUGUGAUUUUCGAUCCACCUUUAUCCGGUAAUAAGUGAGGCACAAGCUAACUUUAAUGGUGGCGUGAGCGCUCGAUGAAUUUUAUAGUAGCUUAGUUAAAUUGGCAAGCACGAUAAGCUCGUAUGAUAGGGACAACAAUACUAUGUUGCUGAAAAUAUUUCGGCCAUCAUCUAUGGCAAGCUCAAUCCUUUUCCUUUCUUUCUGAAAGUUAUUACUUUCACAGGCUAGGCCACAGUUUCACUGUGCGUAUUGGGUCAUGAUGAAUCCUGGUAAGCUUUGCAUGUGUUAAGAUGGGACUUUGGAAUCGAAAGCUUGUUCCUGCUGUCUUUGCUAAUGAGUGAUGAUUCUACAUAUUCAUUUUUUAAGUUACUAGUAAAAUUUAUAUUCAAUAUAUCGACUAUUUAACCGUAUACACGUCUUGAUCUGCCUGAUUCACCGUUCAAAACAAUGGCUAGUUGUAGUUACAGCGUAAAUUGGUCGAGCUCGAUUUUGCAGGUUAUAAAUUUGAUGAGCAUGACCGUGAUUCGGUCAAUUUAAGGUUGCAAUUUGCUCGCUAUCCUGGUGCAAGGUCAGGUGGCGGGCAUCGAGGGAAGCGUUGAACUUGAACUUAUGCGAUUUUGCAGGAAUUGCUGGGUUUGGAAUUGUUGGGAUAGUGAGAGGCGAAAACGACAGUUGCGGUCUCGUGAUUACAAACGCAUAGUUAGGAUUCGUCAAUAUUCGUGUGUUUGAUAUUUAAGUGACCUUAUUCUAGAGAUUGUGUUAGACAGAUGCGAAUUAUAAUAUCUGUUAAUUUCAUACUGCCUGCGUAUUUAUCUUAAUAACAAGUUUCUUGCUCGCUUCA